UACAGAGGUCUCAAGCGUUGUUCGGAAUCACUGGGCGUAAAGGGUGCGUAGGCCGCACGGUAAGUCAGAGGUGAAAUCCCGGAGCUCAACUCCGGAAUGGCCUCCGAUACUGCCGUGCUCGAGGACUGGAGAGGAGUCUGGAAUUCACAGUGGAGCAGUGAAAUGCGUGGAUAUUGUGAGGAACACUAGUGGCGAAGGCGAGACUCUGGACAGUUCCUGACGCUGAGGCACGAAGGUCAGGGGAGCAAACGGG
This 253-nucleotide ribosomal RNA is filed under the name uncultured bacterium. Its description in RNAcentral is "partial 16S ribosomal RNA". It matches the Rfam family "Bacterial small subunit ribosomal RNA", at positions 524 to 776 of the family's 1533-position model. The record is from RNAcentral.